UUCAGCCUCAGGUUUAAUCAUAUCAAGCAAUAGACGAACUAAAGUCACCCUUGUAACGCUAUGUGCACAGAGGUUUAAGAAAAGUCUUUGCAGAAGGCCUUUCCCAAGGGGCUGUGACAGCCGUAGCAGGCGGACCAAAGCUUUCAAAGCAUUAGCAUCCAGAAGGUGGCUCACCUUCAAUUUCCUUCACCUUCAUGCUAUCUGCAAUUGCAGAAGCUGCCCUCCGUCCAAUUGUAACUCCUACACCCCUGUCCAUCACUGUCUGCCUAUCAAACCCCAAACCAUUUCUACGGCUAAUCAGCAAACAGGCUGUGAGCCUGAUAAUGACUCAUUGCUCGAUCCCUUAGCAUUUGGGCUUCGGCAAGCAAUGGAGAAGGCAAUGCUGAUAAUACUGCUUCUGAAGAAGUCAAAAGUACCUCUUCACGCAAAUCAGCAGGGAAAGUAGCAAUUAUUGAAGCAUUAUCCAUGUCAACAGGCUGUCCUUCAGCCUG
Molecule: unclassified non-coding RNA, 491 nt
Filed under: Hevea brasiliensis (rubber tree)
Lineage: Eukaryota; Viridiplantae; Streptophyta; Magnoliopsida; Malpighiales; Euphorbiaceae
Source: RNAcentral